This 395-nucleotide ribosomal RNA is filed under the name uncultured bacterium. RNAcentral's name for it is "partial 16S ribosomal RNA". It matches the Rfam family "Bacterial small subunit ribosomal RNA", at positions 523 to 918 of the family's 1533-position model. The record is from RNAcentral.
AUACGUAGGGUGCAAGCGUUAAUCGGAAUUACUGGGCGUAAAGCGUGCGCAGGCGGUUUUGUAAGACAGUGGUGAAAUCCCCGGGCUCAACCUGGGAACUGCCAUUGUGACUGCAAAGCUGGAGGGCGGCAGAGGGGGAUGGAAUUCCCCGUGUAGAAGUGAAAUGCGUAGAUAUGCGGAGGAACACCGAUGGCGAAGGCAAUCCCCUGGGCCUGCACUGACGCUCAUGCACGAAAGCGUGGGGAGCAAACAGGAUUAGAUACCCUGGUAGUCCACGCCCUAAACGAUGUCAUCUGGUUGUUGGGGAUUUAUUUUCUCAGUAACGAAGCUAACGCGUGAAGUUGACCGCCUGGGGAGUACGGCCGCAAGGUUAAAACUCAAAGGAAUUGACGGGG